Molecule: ribosomal RNA, 253 nt
Filed under: uncultured bacterium
Lineage: Bacteria
Description: partial 16S ribosomal RNA
Rfam family: Bacterial small subunit ribosomal RNA
Source: RNAcentral
UACGAAGGGUGCAAGCGUUACUCGGAAUUACUGGGCGUAAAGCGUGCGUAGGUGGUUUUUUAAGUCCGUUGUGAAAGCCCUGGGCUCAACCUGGGAAUGGCAGUGGAUACUGGAAAGCUAGAGUGCGGUAGAGGGUAGUGGAAUUCCCGGUGUAGCAGUGAAAUGCGUAGAGAUCGGGAGGAACAUCUGUGGCGAAGGCGACUGCCUGGACCAGCACUGACACUGAGGCACGAAAGCGUGGGGAGCAAACAGG